Balaenoptera acutorostrata (minke whale) is the source of this 444-nucleotide long non-coding RNA. RefSeq lists it as uncharacterized. NCBI's taxonomy places the organism in Eukaryota, Metazoa, Chordata, Mammalia, Artiodactyla, Balaenopteridae. The record is from RefSeq and is a predicted model, not a curated record. The transcript is spliced from 3 exons.
CAGGGGACAGAAGAGGAUAAACUUCAGCUGUUCUCAAGCCCUGCCGCGUCUUUACCAAAGAUCUCCGACAGCAGCAUGAAGCUGGGAGGCUUCCUCCUCCUUGUGACCCUAGUCGUCCUCAGCUCAGAGGUACAGGAGCUUCAGGCUGCCGUGAGACCCUAUAAACUUCUGGGCACCUGCAUUGAGCUCUGCAGUGGUGACUGGGACUGUGAUCUGGAGGAGCACUGCGUCAGCAAUGGUUGUGGCCACAAAUGCGUCUCGGACUAAGGGCAGAUGAAGACAUCUUAAGGGCCAUCCUUCUCUAAUAGUUGUUCAUCCCUUCCUGGAGUUCCUGUCUUCAAAGAUGUGACUAUUUGAAACUCCUUGCCCAGGAAUACAGAUGAAAAUGGGGGCCCAUGGAUGGAGAUGACAAGGGAUGUGGUGGGGAAGGGAAAAUAAUUGUUU